Non-coding RNA from Schizosaccharomyces pombe (fission yeast), 655 nucleotides. Lineage: Eukaryota; Fungi; Ascomycota; Schizosaccharomycetes; Schizosaccharomycetales; Schizosaccharomycetaceae. The record is from the annotation of a GenBank genome assembly.
AUUUAAUGAGCACAGUUGCGGAAGCUCACCCAAGGCAUAUGGAAUUUCCGUCAACUCGUUUCCACUGAGAUCAAGAGAUACAAGGGACUGUAAUGAAAGAAAUACAUUUUUUGGAAUGCUUUUUAAUUUACAGGAGGAGCAACGUAGAUAAAGGAGUUGACUCCAAGACGAGGAAGACAGUAUAGCAUCUUUUUCCAUUAAAGAACUAGAGCUAUUCGCGGAUUGGUUUUCCGUACCACCAGAAGAAGAGGCAUUCCCAUCUUUUGAAAGAACGAGUACAGAUUGCGAAAGUGUCUUAUGAACGGGUGGAUGCGAAGAUUUAAGAUAAUCUUUGGAUCCCAAAGAUACCGAACGUCUCAAGUUAGCAUGUGCUGGAUGUUGCUCACAAGGUUGUGAGUUUGGCUGUUGAGGGUAAGUUUGCCUAGAAGAGCGAAAACGAUAAAGCUCAGCAUCAUCAAGAACCAGCUUGAUGAGGACUUCAGAUAAAUCGGCUAAAUCACAGUGAUGAAGGAUGAGGCUUUUAAGAGUCGUAGAAAGAAAAUCCCAGCCAAAUAUCGAUCUAAUGUCGUAGCCUCUAAUUUCAAGAGAUGACAGGUUUUUAAAAACAGUGAUGGGAACAGCGGUAUCUAAAGGAAAUUCUUCGUAUUGAGAUAUC